RNAcentral lists this ribosomal RNA (108 nucleotides) under Rodentibacter trehalosifermentans. Its description in RNAcentral is "partial 23S ribosomal RNA". The stretch from base 1 to 96 matches the Rfam family "Bacterial large subunit ribosomal RNA", at positions 2830 to 2925 of the family's 2925-position model. The record is from RNAcentral. Lineage: Bacteria; Pseudomonadati; Pseudomonadota; Gammaproteobacteria; Pasteurellales; Pasteurellaceae.
AAGGGUUGUUUGAGACUAAGACGUAGAUAGGUGGGGUGUAGAAGUAUUGUGAGAUAUUGAGCUAACCCAUACUAAUUGCCCGAGCGGCUUAACUAUACAACGCUCAAG